This is a long non-coding RNA of Lepisosteus oculatus (spotted gar), 1254 nucleotides long. RefSeq lists it as uncharacterized. NCBI's taxonomy places the organism in Eukaryota, Metazoa, Chordata, Actinopteri, Semionotiformes, Lepisosteidae. The record is from RefSeq and is a predicted model, not a curated record.
GAUGUGACACUUUAAAGUUAUUGAAUGCUACAUUUCCAGAGGAAUACUUUUUCUUCUGCAUUCUGCUGCCUUAGAAAAUAAAUGGACAUUCUAAGACAGAAUAAAUGGAGUGUCAGGCUACCAGGAAGAUAGGUGUGUUUUCCAGAUGGAAGGCUACACAGAUCACUCCCACCCUGUCUCCGCACAGACCAGAACUGUCUCUUUACAGAAGGUUGCCCGAAAAAGGUUUACUUUCCUUACACAGCAGCUCUUUGCUUGGGAAAUGUGAGAUAUUCUUUAGAAUGUUUAUUUAAUAUUGUCAAGUUCUUUUAAAAGAUCUAACUAUUGUCACUGUAACUACAGCAUUAAAUGUUUUAAUUUAAUUCUAAAUUGUUUGCAAAUUUGUCCACAUGACUAAAUUUAAUCAAAUUUAACUAAAUCUGAUGUUUAAUUAAAACAGAUCAAUUACAGAAAACCCCUCUAUCAGAAACAGGUAAUAGGACAAUUACAGCACAGAACAGCACAACAUAUUAAUUUGUUAGCUUUGUUGAUAGAAUGGAUCAAUUAUCCUGUAGAAUAACAUAGGGUAGAAUCUCAAGAGUAGAAACAAUUUCUAGCAGUGUACAUUUGCCACUACAAUGAAAAUGAUGUUUCUCAUUCUCAUUGGAAAAGAAUGUUAGAAAAUACAGCUAGAAAACCAUGCUUAAUAAUUUGUAAAUUGAUUGCUGUCCAUAACAGAAUAUAAGGGUUGCUAAGGGAUGUAGAAUCUUAGAGGUUGUACCUCUAUUAAUUGAAAAAUGUUUGUCAUGCCUUUAAAAAUGAAUUAGUUUAGCCUAUCACUGUUACUGUAACACUUCCUACUGAUAGAACAAUCUUUUUUCAAAUGUUAAAUGAUGCUGAUACCAAGGUAAAUAAAGAUAAAAAAGGCAAUUUAUUUGGAUUCUGUUUAUCUUUGGCUGUAACCUGUGCAACUGCUCACUUGGCUCAACUCUCUUGAGCAUUUGACAGGCAUUGGGGAAUCAAAUUUGGUAUGGCCUGACUGCAGCCUUCAGAAAAGACUCAUACCACCUGUGAAUAAUGUUUGUAGCAUAAAUGCUAUGUGCUUUUCCGUUGCAGAGGAUAUGCGUGCAGUACAGAAACACAAGCUCAUGUCUUCAGCAAUGAACAUUUUGAUAUGUUGCAUGAUCACAUCACUAUUCAUGCCAGCCCCUGUAAGAAGAAACAAAAGCAAAACACAAAUCAGAUGACCUAGAUAUAGAAACAUAACUGUACUAG